UACUUAAUAAGCAUUAUCGUUUUAUUAAUAACGUAUCAUUUGGCUAUGAAUAAAAUUUAAGAACUAUUCAAUAAAUCCUCAUCGUCUUUAUCGAGUGUUUAUAGUUCUAAGGACUUCAUCAUAAUUAUAAGAGUUCUAUAAGAAAGAUGCAAAAAUAUGAUGAACUACUAGGUAAUAUUUAUUGAUUUAUUUAUGAUUUAUAUAAAAAAAGUAUAACUAUUUAUAGCUAGACGAUUGGCUUUAGGAUACAUUCCCAAUAUCCUAUGAUUAUGAGGACUUUGAAAAUUAUUUAUGGAAUGAUGGGAAAUUGAAGGGACUGACAUGUAAAUAGGAGGUGUCCGAAAGGACUAAGUAGUCUGCAAGACAUGACUCGGACCACCAAUUGGCUUAAGAGUCUGGAAAGAAAGCUGAUGAAUGGGUUGACUACUAGUAUGGUCAUCCUUUGGAGGAUGUUUACCUAGUCUGGACUCUCUCAGGGAUAGUUAGCGUUCGAUCUGCUAAUCGAUGAGAUUAGCUAUAUCUAUGUGGUGAUCAACCUGAUUAGUAUUAAACUCAUUAAGCUCAGUUUGAAGUCAGUCUAAUGAUUGGUAUAUUUGGUUUAAAGUCUUUUAGAAUGCAGUUUGAAAUAUUUUAACUGAUUCAAGCUCUUUUUUUAUAGCAGAAUAAUCAUCUUUCAAAUUAUCAAUCAUCAUGGU
Molecule: long non-coding RNA, 695 nt
Filed under: Elaeis guineensis (African oil palm)
Lineage: Eukaryota; Viridiplantae; Streptophyta; Magnoliopsida; Arecales; Arecaceae
Description: long non-coding RNA (EGUI_LNC035144)
Source: RNAcentral